RNAcentral lists this small nucleolar RNA (129 nucleotides) under Peromyscus maniculatus bairdii (prairie deer mouse). Its description in RNAcentral is "Small nucleolar RNA SNORA25 (ENSPEMG00000000977.2)". It matches the Rfam family "Small nucleolar RNA SNORA25". Rfam says of the family: ACA25 is a member of the H/ACA class of snoRNA that guide the sites of modification of uridines to pseudouridines. Lineage: Eukaryota; Metazoa; Chordata; Mammalia; Rodentia; Cricetidae. RNAcentral also lists the same sequence under 1 other name. The record is from Rfam by way of RNAcentral.
AGGUCAUUUCAAAGAGGGCUUGUUGGACUGUGAAACCAAAAGCUCUUAACGCUGUGACCAGAGAUUGAUGUUCUCCACAGAACAAAACAAGCACUCAAUAGUGCUGUGUUUUUCUGAGAAGAUACAUGC